Molecule: ribosomal RNA, 334 nt
Filed under: uncultured bacterium
Lineage: Bacteria
Description: partial 16S ribosomal RNA
Rfam family: Bacterial small subunit ribosomal RNA
Source: RNAcentral
CCUACGGGAGGCAGCAGUGGGGAAUAUUGGGCAAUGGGCGAAAGCCUGACCCAGCAACGCCGCGUGAAGGAAGAAGGCUUUCGGGUUGUAAACUUCUUUUGACAGGGAAGAGCAGAAGACGGUACCUGUCGAAUAAGCCACGGCUAACUACGUGCCAGCAGCCGCGGUAAUACGUAGGUGGCAAGCGUUGUCCGGAUUUACUGGGUGUAAAGGGCGUGUAGCCGGGCUGACAAGUCAGAUGUGAAAUCCGGGGGCUAAACCCCCGAACUGCAUUGGAAACUGUUGGUCUUGAGUUUGGGAGGGCCGGGCGAAUUUCCAGGGGUGGCGGUGAAAG